Molecule: ribosomal RNA, 253 nt
Filed under: uncultured bacterium
Lineage: Bacteria
Description: partial 16S ribosomal RNA
Rfam family: Bacterial small subunit ribosomal RNA
Source: RNAcentral
UACGUAGGGUGCGAGCGUUAAUCGGAAUUACUGGGCGUAAAGCGUGCGCAGGCGGUUUUGUAAGCCAGAUGUGAAAGCCCCGGGCUUAACCUGGGAACUGCAUUUGUGACUGCACGGCUGGAGUGCGGCAGAGGGGGAUGGAAUUCCGCGUGUAGCAGUGAAAUGCGUAGAUAUGCGGAGGAACACCGAUGGCGAAGGCAAUCCCCUGGGCCUGCACUGACGCUCAUGCACGAAAGCGUGGGGAGCAAACAGG